Sceloporus undulatus (fence lizard) is the source of this 435-nucleotide long non-coding RNA. RefSeq lists it as uncharacterized. NCBI's taxonomy places the organism in Eukaryota, Metazoa, Chordata, Lepidosauria, Squamata, Phrynosomatidae. The record is from RefSeq and is a predicted model, not a curated record. The transcript has 3 exons.
UCUUCCAACAAAAUUAUGGUAGGCAACACCAUAUUUACAAUUUCAGGUUUGACAACAGAAAGAUAGAAAAUCCAGUGGCUUUUCCAACAGAACUGAAAACAAGAAUCCAGAAAUUUUGUGAUCGAAGAAUUUUCUUGGAUAAUGUGGUGAAGACAUUUAAUGAUGAAAUGGCUGUAAUACUGAAAGGAAGAGGAAGGAAGAGAUUUAAAAGAAGCUUAUCAGAGGAACAAAAAGGCAACAGAGUGCAAGUUACUCUGGAUCAAGACACAGCCUUUCAGAAUCUCUGGAUUUCUCCAGACCUGAAGAAGGUGUGCCAUGUCAACUUUAUUGAGCCAUUGCCUGAACGUCCUAGAGGAUUUAAAUUGUCGCACUCUGUUCUGGGCCAUCAGGUUUUCUCUUCAGGGAGGCAUUAUUGGGAGGUGAAGGUGUGUGGAU